This 253-nucleotide ribosomal RNA is filed under the name uncultured bacterium. Its description in RNAcentral is "partial 16S ribosomal RNA". It matches the Rfam family "Bacterial small subunit ribosomal RNA", at positions 524 to 776 of the family's 1533-position model. The record is from RNAcentral.
UACGUAGGGUGCAAGCGUUGUCCGGAAUUAUUGGGCGUAAAGAGCUCGUAGGCGGUUUGUCACGUCGGCUGUGAAAACCCGAGGCUCAACCUCGGGCCUGCAGUCGAUACGGGCAGACUAGAGUAUGGCAGGGGAGACUGGAAUUCCUGGUGUAGCGGUGAAAUGCGCAGAUAUCAGGAGGAACACCGGUGGCGAAGGCGGGUCUCUGGGCCACUACUGACGCUGAGAAGCGAAAGCAUGGGGAGCGAACAGG